AGUGAACGCUGGCGGUAGGCCUAGCACAUGCAAGUCGAACGGCAGCACAGUAAGAGCUUGCUCUUACGGGUGGCGAGUGGCGGACGGGUGAGGAAUACAUCGAAAUCUACUUUUUCGUGGGGGAUAACGUAGGGAAACUUACGCUAAUACCGCAUACGACCUACGGGUGAAAGCAGGGGAUCUUCGGACCUUGCGCGAUUGAAUGAGCCGAUGUCGGAUUAGCUAGUUGGCGGGGUAAAGGCCCACCAAGGCGACGAUCCGUAGCUGGUCUGAGAGGAUGAUCAGCCACACUGGAACUGAGACACGGUCCAGACUCCUACGGGAGGCAGCAGUGGGGAAUAUUGGACAAUGGGCGCAAGCCUGAUCCAGCCAUACCGCGUGGGUGAAGAAGGCCUUCGGGUUGUAAAGCCCUUUUGUUGGGAAAGAAAAGCAGCAGGUUAAUACCCCGCUGUUCUGACGGUACCCAAAGAAUAAGCACCGGCUAACUUCGUG
This 492-nucleotide ribosomal RNA is filed under the name uncultured bacterium. RNAcentral's name for it is "partial 16S ribosomal RNA". It matches the Rfam family "Bacterial small subunit ribosomal RNA", at positions 29 to 507 of the family's 1533-position model. The record is from RNAcentral.